This 460-nucleotide ribosomal RNA is filed under the name uncultured bacterium. RNAcentral's name for it is "partial 16S ribosomal RNA". It matches the Rfam family "Bacterial small subunit ribosomal RNA", at positions 338 to 795 of the family's 1533-position model. The record is from RNAcentral.
CCUACGGGAGGCAGCAGUGAGGAAUAUUGGUCAAUGGACGAGAGUCUGAACCAGCCAAGUAGCGUGAAGGAUGACUGCCCUAUGGGUUGUAAACUUCUUUUAUAUGGGAAUAAAACGUUCCACGUGUGGGAUUUUGUAUGUACCAUAUGAAUAAGGCUCGGCUAACUCCGUGCCAGCAGCCGCGGUAAUACGGAGGAUCCGAGCGUUAUCCGGAUUUAUUGGGUUUAAAGGGAGCGUAGGUGGAUUGUUAAGUCAGUUGUGAAAGUUUGCGGCUCAACCGUAAAAUUGCAGUUGAAACUGGCAGUCUUGAGUACAGUAGAGGUGGGCGGAAGUCGUGGUGUAGCGGUGAAAUGCUUAGAUAUCACGAAGAACUCCGAUUGCGAAGGCAGUUCACUGGACUGCAACUGACACUGAGGCUCGAAAGUGUGGGUAUCAAACAGGAUUAGAUACCCUUGUAGUC